This 274-nucleotide ribosomal RNA is filed under the name uncultured bacterium. Its description in RNAcentral is "partial 16S ribosomal RNA". It matches the Rfam family "Bacterial small subunit ribosomal RNA", at positions 523 to 796 of the family's 1533-position model. The record is from RNAcentral.
CUACGGAGGGUGCAAGCGUUACUCGGAAUCACUGGGCGUAAAGCGCGCGCAGGCGGCUAUUUAAGUUGUAUGUGAAAGCCUACGGCUCAACCGUAGAACUGCAUCCAAAACUAUUUAGCUAGAGUGUGGGAGAGGAAGAUGGAAUUAGUUGUGUAGGGGUAAAAUCCGUAGAGAUAACUAGGAAUACCAAAAGCGAAGGCAAUCUUCUGGAACACUACUGACGCUGAGGCGCGAAAGCGUGGGGAGCAAACGGGAUUAGAAACCCUAGUAGUCC